Molecule: non-coding RNA, 57 nt
Filed under: Peptococcaceae bacterium
Lineage: Bacteria; Bacillati; Bacillota; Clostridia; Eubacteriales; Peptococcaceae
Description: Fluoride sequence
Rfam family: Fluoride riboswitch aptamer (crcB RNA motif)
Source: RNAcentral
AAUACAAGCGGCGAUGGAGCUCGCCUAAUGCGUUGCGCUGAUGGCUUCUGCCGGGCU